RNAcentral lists this ribosomal RNA (697 nucleotides) under Lagynochthonius sp. 3504. RNAcentral describes it as "partial large subunit ribosomal RNA". Lineage: Eukaryota; Metazoa; Arthropoda; Arachnida; Pseudoscorpiones; Chthoniidae. The record is from RNAcentral.
AUAUUAUUAAGUGGAGGAAAAGAAACCAAAAGGGAUUCCCCCAGUAGCGGCGAGCGAAAAGGGAUCAGCCCAAAGCCGAAUCCCGUGCCCCCUGGGCACCGGGAAAUGUGGCGUAUGGGAGGGUGCCUAACGGCGCGUCGGAGGCGGCUCAAGUUUCCUUGAAUGGAACCCAGACCGAAGCGGGUGUUAGUCCCGUACGGCUGUUCUCCGCGUUUCGUGUCGGGCCCUUCCCGGGAGUCGGGUUGCUUGAAAGUGCAGCCCAAAGUGGGUGGUAUGCUCCACCUAAGGCUAAAUAUUCCCGAGAGACCGAUAGCAAAAAAGUACCGUGAGGGAAAGUUGAAAAGAACUUUGAAGAGAGAGUUCAAUAGUACGUGAAACCGCUUAGAGGUAAACGGGUGGGCCCACGAAGUCUGAAGACAAGCUCCUAACAGAGCCUUUUCCGCACYUGCACGCGCUGACAACCGACCUGUCUUGCGUACGGUACGAUAGGGGAAAGGACUCUGGUGGCUUCUAUGUCUGAAGAGGCCGCGACUGGUUGGUCGACCAUCGGAAGGACUGGAUUGAAAGGUCGCCCCUUGGGUUUUGUUUCUUUCUAGUAUAGCUGGUGAUCGUGCCGACUCAGGACGAGAGAAAACUCGAACGGCCUUUGGGCCCCGGGUCAGCGGUCAGUAGAUCGGGUCCCACCCGACCCGUCUUG